RNAcentral lists this ribosomal RNA (273 nucleotides) under uncultured bacterium. RNAcentral describes it as "partial 16S ribosomal RNA". It matches the Rfam family "Bacterial small subunit ribosomal RNA", at positions 523 to 796 of the family's 1533-position model. The record is from RNAcentral.
AUACGGAGGGUGCAAACGUUGUUCGGAAUCACUGGGCGUAAAGGGCGCGCAGGCGGUUUGAUUAGUCAGAUGUGAAAGCCACGGCUUAACCGUGGAAGUGCAUUUGAAACUGUCAGACUUGAGUACCAGAGGGGGUAGUGGAACUCCCGGUGUAGAGGUGAAAUUCGUAGAUAUCGGGAGGAAUACCGGUGGCGAAGGCGACUACCUGGCUGGAUACUGACGCUGAGGCGCGAAAGCGUGGGGAGCAAACAGGAUUAGAUACCCCGGUAGUCC